AAAAUCAUGAAAAUUCAAUACAUUGCAAGAUUUUCGUAGGCCU
This is a non-coding RNA of Trichuris trichiura (human whipworm), 43 nucleotides long. The record is from Rfam. Lineage: Eukaryota; Metazoa; Nematoda; Enoplea; Trichinellida; Trichuridae.